UACGGGGGGGGCAAGCGUUGUUCGGAAUUACUGGGCGUAAAGGGCUCGUAGGUGGCCAACUAAGUCAGACGUGAAAUCCCUCGGCUUAACCGGGGAACUGCGUCUGAUACUGGAUGGCUUGAGUUUGGGAGAGGGAUGCGGAAUUCCAGGUGUAGCGGUGAAAUGCGCAGAUAUCAGGAGGAACACCAAUGGCGAAGGCAGCUCGCUGGGACGGUACUGACACUGAGACGCGAAAGCGUGGGGAGCAAACAGG
RNAcentral lists this ribosomal RNA (253 nucleotides) under uncultured bacterium. Its description in RNAcentral is "partial 16S ribosomal RNA". It matches the Rfam family "Bacterial small subunit ribosomal RNA", at positions 524 to 776 of the family's 1533-position model. The record is from RNAcentral.